AGGUGAGGCUGGUCAGGGUUAAGGGUGUUGGAAGCAACAGUUGUAAGGGCCUCAGAAGGUGGGGCCUGGUGACACCUACCAUAGCAGGAAAGUCACUUGAUUUGUGCGGCAGGAUUAGAAUUCCUUCAAUUCCAGCUCCGGCACCGUGCUGAGAAUAGAUGCUUGCCUUGGGGUACCUCCCCUCAAGGCCAGACAGCCAACCUGAGAGUCUUGGGGAAGCUAGAGAGACCAACAAUCAUGGAAACCCCACCCAAGACCCCACCCAGGGCUAACCCUGGCUUCCCACCAGCCUGCUGCCUGCUCUGGGCCACUUGAGGAUAUCUAUGCUCCACUUUGCCGCUUACAUUCCAUUAAAAACAUCUGCUAAACAAUAAAGCCCGCAGCUUAACAAAGUA
Molecule: long non-coding RNA, 395 nt
Filed under: Mus musculus (house mouse)
Lineage: Eukaryota; Metazoa; Chordata; Mammalia; Rodentia; Muridae
Description: predicted gene, 33075 (Gm33075)
Source: RNAcentral